RNAcentral lists this ribosomal RNA (458 nucleotides) under uncultured bacterium. RNAcentral's name for it is "partial 16S ribosomal RNA". It matches the Rfam family "Bacterial small subunit ribosomal RNA", at positions 338 to 795 of the family's 1533-position model. The record is from RNAcentral.
CCUACGGGUGGCAGCAGUGAGGAAUAUUGGUCAAUGGGCGAGAGCCUGAACCAGCCAAGUCGCGUGAGGGAGUACUGCCCUAUGGGUUGUAAACCUCUUUUGUCGGGGAGCAAAAGCCGGACGUGUCCGGCUGUGAGAGUACCCGAAGACACAGCAUCGGCUAACUCCGUGCCAGCAGCCGCGGUAAUAAGGAGGAUGCGAGCGUUAUCCGGAUUUAUUGGGUUUAAAGGGUGAGCAGGCGGAUUUUUAAGUCGGCGGUAAAAUCGUGGGGCUCAACCCCAUCCAGCCGUUGAAACUGGGGAGCUAGAGUGUGCGAGAGGUAUGCGGAAUGCGUGGUGUAGCGGUGAAAUGCAUAGAUAUCACGCAGAACACCGAUUGCGAAGGCAUCUCACGAAUCCGCGAUUGACGCUGAUGCACGAAAGCGUGGGUAUCAAACAGGAGUAGAUACCCUUGUAGUC